This 22-nucleotide non-coding RNA is filed under the name Arabidopsis thaliana (thale cress). Lineage: Eukaryota; Viridiplantae; Streptophyta; Magnoliopsida; Brassicales; Brassicaceae. The record is from RNAcentral.
UAGCCAAGGAUGACUUGCCUGA